This 253-nucleotide ribosomal RNA is filed under the name uncultured bacterium. RNAcentral describes it as "partial 16S ribosomal RNA". It matches the Rfam family "Bacterial small subunit ribosomal RNA", at positions 524 to 776 of the family's 1533-position model. The record is from RNAcentral.
UACGUAGGGGCCGAGCGUUAUCCGGAGUUAUUGGGCGUAAAGCGCGCGCAGGCGGCCUCGCGCGCCCGACGUGAAAGCCCCCGGCUUAACCGGGGAGGGUCGUUGGGGACGGCGGGGCUUGAGGGCGGGAGAGGGUGGUGGAAUUCCCGGUGUAGUGGUGAAAUGCGUAGAGAUCGGGAGGAACACCCGUGGCGAAGGCGGCCACCUGGGCCGACCCUGACGCUGAGGCGCGAAGGCUAGGGGAGCAAACGGG